RNAcentral lists this ribosomal RNA (860 nucleotides) under Lacticaseibacillus casei. RNAcentral's name for it is "bacterial SSU rRNA". It matches the Rfam family "Bacterial small subunit ribosomal RNA", at positions 534 to 1395 of the family's 1533-position model. The record is from RNAcentral. Lineage: Bacteria; Bacillati; Bacillota; Bacilli; Lactobacillales; Lactobacillaceae.
GGGGGGGGUWUCCGGAUUUAUUGGGCGUAAGCGAGCGCAGGCGGUUUUUUAAGUCUGAUGUGAAAGCCCUCGGCUUAACCGAGGAAGCGCAUCGGAAACUGGGAAACUUGAGUGCAGAAGAGGACAGUGGAACUCCAUGUGUAGCGGUGAAAUGCGUAGAUAUAUGGAAGAACACCAGUGGCGAAGGCGGCUGUCUGGUCUGUAACUGACGCUGAGGCUCGAAAGCAUGGGUAGCGAACAGGAUUAGAUACCCUGGUAGUCCAUGCCGUAAACGAUGAAUGCUAGGUGUUGGAGGGUUUCCGCCCUUCAGUGCCGCAGCUAACGCAUUAAGCAUUCCGCCUGGGGAGUACGACCGCAAGGUUGAAACUCAAAGGAAUUGACGGGGGCCCGCACAAGCGGUGGAGCAUGUGGUUUAAUUCGAAGCAACGCGAAGAACCUUACCAGGUCUUGACAUCUUUUGAUCACCUGAGAGAUCAGGUUUCCCCUUCGGGGGCAAAAUGACAGGUGGUGCAUGGUUGUCGUCAGCUCGUGUCGUGAGAUGUUGGGUUAAGUCCCGCAACGAGCGCAACCCUUAUGACUAGUUGCCAGCAUUUAGUUGGGCACUCUAGUAAGACUGCCGGUGACAAACCGGAGGAAGGUGGGGAUGACGUCAAAUCAUCAUGCCCCUUAUGACCUGGGCUACACACGUGCUACAAUGGAUGGUACAACGAGUUGCGAGACCGCGAGGUCAAGCUAAUCUCUUAAAGCCAUUCUCAGUUCGGACUGUAGGCUGCAACUCGCCUACACGAAGUCGGAAUCGCUAGUAAUCGCGGAUCAGCACGCCGCGGUGAAUACGUUCCCGGGCCUUGUACMACCCSSCA